UUCUAGUGUAGAGGUGAAAUUCGUAGAUAUAGAAAGAAUACCAAUUGCGAAGGCAGCUUUCUGGAUCAUUACUGACACUGAGGAACGAAAGCAUGGGUAGCGAAGAGGAUUAGAUACCCUCGUAGUCCAUGCCGUAAACGAUGUGUGUUAGACGUUGGAAAUUUAUUUUCAGUGUCGCAGCGAAAGCGAUAAACACACCGCCUGGGGAGUACGACCGCAAGGUUAAAACUCAAAUGAAUUGACGGGGACCCGCACAAGUAGUGGAGCAUGUGGUUUAAUUCGAAGAUACGCGCAGAACCUUACCAACACUUGACAUGUUCGUCGCGACUCUAAGAGAUUAGAGUUUUCGGUUCGGCCGGACGAAACACAGGUGCUGCAUGGCUGUCGUCAGCUCGUGUCGUGAGAUGUUGGGUUAAGUCCCGCAACGAGCGCAACCCUCACUUUUAGUUGCCAUCAUUAAGUUGGGCACUCUGAAAGAACUGCCAGUGAUAAGCUGGAGGAAGGUGGGGAUGACGUCAAGUCCUCAUGGCCCUUACGUGUUGGGCUACACACGUGCUACAAUGGUAUCUACAACAGGAAGCAAAACUGCGAAGUUAAGCAAAUCCCUAAAAGAUACCUCAGUUCGGAUUGCACUCUGCAACUCGAGUGCAUGAAGCUGGAAUUACUAGUAAUCGUGGAUCAGCGUGCCACGGUGAAUGCGUUCCCGGGUCUUGUACACACCGCCCGUCACACCAUGGGAGUUGGUUCUACCUUAAGGCAAGGUUUUAAACCCUUGACCACGGUAUAGUCAGCGACUGGGGUGAAGUCGUAACAAGGUAACCGU
Molecule: ribosomal RNA, 823 nt
Filed under: uncultured bacterium
Lineage: Bacteria
Description: bacterial SSU rRNA
Rfam family: Bacterial small subunit ribosomal RNA
Source: RNAcentral